RNAcentral lists this ribosomal RNA (2899 nucleotides) under Klebsiella pneumoniae. Its description in RNAcentral is "bacterial LSU rRNA". It matches the Rfam family "Bacterial large subunit ribosomal RNA". The record is from RNAcentral. Lineage: Bacteria; Pseudomonadati; Pseudomonadota; Gammaproteobacteria; Enterobacterales; Enterobacteriaceae.
UUAAGCGACUAAGCGUACACGGUGGAUGCCCUGGCAGUCAGAGGCGAUGAAGGACGUGCUAAUCUGCGAAAAGCGUCGGUAAGGUGAUAUGAACCGUUAUAACCGGCGAUGUCCGAAUGGGGAAACCCAGUGCAAUUCGUUGCACUAUCGUUAACUGAAUACAUAGGUUAACGAGGCGAACCGGGGGAACUGAAACAUCUAAGUACCCCGAGGAAAAGAAAUCAACCGAGAUUCCCCCAGUAGCGGCGAGCGAACGGGGAGCAGCCCAGAGUCUGAAUCAGCUUGUGUGUUAGUGGAACGGUCUGGAAAGUCCGACGGUACAGGGUGAUAGUCCCGUACACCAAAAUGCACAGGCUGUGAACUCGAAGAGUAGGGCGGGACACGUGGUAUCCUGUCUGAAUAUGGGGGGACCAUCCUCCAAGGCUAAAUACUCCUGACUGACCGAUAGUGAACCAGUACCGUGAGGGAAAGGCGAAAAGAACCCCGGCGAGGGGAGUGAAAAAGAACCUGAAACCGUGUACGUACAAGCAGUGGGAGCACCUUCGGGUGUGACUGCGUACCUUUUGUAUAAUGGGUCAGCGACUUAUAUUCUGUAGCAAGGUUAACCGUAUAGGGGAGCCGCAGGGAAACCGAGUCUUAACUGGGCGUUAAGUUGCAGGGUAUAGACCCGAAACCCGGUGAUCUAGCCAUGGGCAGGUUGAAGGUUGGGUAACACUAACUGGAGGACCGAACCGACUAAUGUUGAAAAAUUAGCGGAUGACUUGUGGCUGGGGGUGAAAGGCCAAUCAAACCGGGAGAUAGCUGGUUCUCCCCGAAAGCUAUUUAGGUAGCGCCUCGUGAAUUCAUCUUCGGGGGUAGAGCACUGUUUCGGCUAGGGGGUCAUCCCGACUUACCAACCCGAUGCAAACUACGAAUACCGAAGAAUGUUAUCACGGGAGACACACGGCGGGUGCUAACGUCCGUCGUGAAGAGGGAAACAACCCAGACCGCCAGCUAAGGUCCCAAAGUCAUGGUUAAGUGGGAAACGAUGUGGGAAGGCACAGACAGCCAGGAUGUUGGCUUAGAAGCAGCCAUCAUUUAAAGAAAGCGUAAUAGCUCACUGGUCGAGUCGGCCUGCGCGGAAGAUGUAACGGGGCUAAACCAUGCACCGAAGCUGCGGCAGCGACACUAUGUGUUGUUGGGUAGGGGAGCGUUCUGUAAGCCUGCGAAGGUGACCUGUGAGGGUUGCUGGAGGUAUCAGAAGUGCGAAUGCUGACAUAAGUAACGAUAAAGCGGGUGAAAAGCCCGCUCGCCGGAAGACCAAGGGUUCCUGUCCAACGUUAAUCGGGGCAGGGUGAGUCGACCCCUAAGGCGAGGCCGAAAGGCGUAGUCGAUGGGAAACAGGUUAAUAUUCCUGUACUUGGUGUUACUGCGAAGGGGGGACGGAGAAGGCUAUGUUAGCCGGGCGACGGUUGUCCCGGUUUAAGCAUGUAGGCUGGUUGUCCAGGCAAAUCCGGAUAAUCAAGGCUGAGGUGUGAUGACGAGGCACUACGGUGCUGAAGUAACAAAUGCCCUGCUUCCAGGAAAAGCCUCUAAGCAUCAGGUAACAUUAAAUCGUACCCCAAACCGACACAGGUGGUCAGGUAGAGAAUACCAAGGCGCUUGAGAGAACUCGGGUGAAGGAACUAGGCAAAAUGGUGCCGUAACUUCGGGAGAAGGCACGCUGGUGUGUAGGUGAAGUCCCUGCGGAUGGAGCUGAGACCAGUCGAAGAUACCAGCUGGCUGCAACUGUUUAUUAAAAACACAGCACUGUGCAAACACGAAAGUGGACGUAUACGGUGUGACGCCUGCCCGGUGCCGGAAGGUUAAUUGAUGGGGUUAUCCGUAAGGAGAAGCUCUUGAUCGAAGCCCCGGUAAACGGCGGCCGUAACUAUAACGGUCCUAAGGUAGCGAAAUUCCUUGUCGGGUAAGUUCCGACCUGCACGAAUGGCGUAAUGAUGGCCAGGCUGUCUCCACCCGAGACUCAGUGAAAUUGAACUCGCUGUGAAGAUGCAGUGUACCCGCGGCAAGACGGAAAGACCCCGUGAACCUUUACUAUAGCUUGACACUGAACAUUGAGCCUUGAUGUGUAGGAUAGGUGGGAGGCUUUGAAGCGUGGACGCCAGUCUGCGUGGAGCCAACCUUGAAAUACCACCCUUUAAUGUUUGAUGUUCUAACGUUGGCCCCUGACCGGGGUUGCGGACAGUGUCUGGUGGGUAGUUUGACUGGGGCGGUCUCCUCCCAAAGCGUAACGGAGGAGCACGAAGGUUAGCUAAUCCUGGUCGGACAUCAGGAGGUUAGUGCAAUGGCAUAAGCUAGCUUGACUGCGAGCGUGACGGCGCGAGCAGGUGCGAAAGCAGGUCAUAGUGAUCCGGUGGUUCUGAAUGGAAGGGCCAUCGCUCAACGGAUAAAAGGUACUCCGGGGAUAACAGGCUGAUACCGCCCAAGAGUUCAUAUCGACGGCGGUGUUUGGCACCUCGAUGUCGGCUCAUCACAUCCUGGGGCUGAAGUAGGUCCCAAGGGUAUGGCUGUUCGCCAUUUAAAGUGGUACGCGAGCUGGGUUUAGAACGUCGUGAGACAGUUCGGUCCCUAUCUGCCGUGGGCGCUGGAGAAUUGAGGGGGGCUGCUCCUAGUACGAGAGGACCGGAGUGGACGCAUCACUGGUGUUCGGGUUGUCAUGCCAAUGGCACUGCCCGGUAGCUAAAUGCGGAAGAGAUAAGUGCUGAAAGCAUCUAAGCACGAAACUUGCCCCGAGAUGAGUUCUCCCUGAGACUUUAAGUCUCCUGAAGGAACGUUGAAGACGACGACGUUGAUAGGCCGGGUGUGUAAGCGCAGCGAUGCGUUGAGCUAACCGGUACUAAUGAACCGUGAGGCUUAACCU